This 519-nucleotide ribosomal RNA is filed under the name uncultured bacterium. RNAcentral's name for it is "bacterial SSU rRNA". It matches the Rfam family "Bacterial small subunit ribosomal RNA", at positions 8 to 518 of the family's 1533-position model. The record is from RNAcentral.
AGAGUUUGAUUCUGGCUCAGGAUGAACGCUAGCGACAGGCUUAACACAUGCAAGUCGAGGGGCAGCACGGGAGUAGCAAUACUUGGUGGCGACCGGCGCACGGGUGAGUAACGCGUAUGCAACCUACCUAUCAGGAGGGGAAUAACCCGGCGAAAGUCGGACUAAUACCGCAUAAAACAGGGGCACCGCAUGGUGAUAUUUGUUAAAGAAAUUCGCUGAUAGAUGGGCAUGCGUUCCAUUAGGUAGUUGGUGAGGUAACGGCUCACCAAGCCGACGAUGGAUAGGGGAACUGAGAGGUUGGUCCCCCACACUGGUACUGAGACACGGACCAGACUCCUACGGGAGGCAGCAGUGAGGAAUAUUGGUCAAUGGGCGGGAGCCUGAACCAGCCAAGUCCGCGUGAAGGAAGAAGGAUCUAUGGUUCGUAAACUUCUUUUGCAGGGGAAUAAAGUGCAGGACGUGUCCUGUUUUGUAUGUACCCUGAGAAUAAGGAUCGGCUAACUCCGUGCCAGCCGCCGC